Molecule: non-coding RNA, 1198 nt
Organism: Aegilops tauschii subsp. strangulata
Lineage: Eukaryota; Viridiplantae; Streptophyta; Magnoliopsida; Poales; Poaceae
Source: RefSeq, a predicted model, not a curated record
AACAAAAAGGUCACUUUUGAAGCUCCUCCGUCGAUUGCGGGCCGUACGUCGACGGCAGCCAGUCCGGCCUCCCCUCGCCGUCAACGCAAGGUGGAGUGGAGGACAUUCAGUUUCCCUCUGAUGUCCGAGAAGUCCCUCUUGGGUGCAGCGAUAUCCAAGUUAGUUACAGCCUCCAGUCAUCUGUAUAGUCUCAGUGUUUGUUCUGUUUUGUGCUGUCGUAUUUCUUAUGUGCAUCAGAGGAAAUGUUCUUUCUAGAGGCAUGUUGCAGCUGGCCGAGUCCCGGAUCUCAUUUCAUUCAUAUGGCCAUAGGCAGCGAUCAAUAAAUGGGCACUGGAGUUUAUCUUCUAACGCCACUGUUGUUUGAGGUCUCUGUCUGUAUUUUUGUUGCUUCUGUUGUAUGGUCACAAAGUUAGGCUUCAUCUGAUUUUAGUUAGUUAUAAGCCGAUCUCAUUAAGCUGAUAAAAAGAAUUCUAUAUGGAUCUCAUUAAGCUGAACUCAGCUGCGUAGCCUGACAGUGCUGUAGAUUUCGUGACUUUUCUAGCUGAAAAUAGCUUUGUGUAUGUGCAUGUCACUUCAAAUAAUUGUUGAAUUUCCGCCUAUGCCCGCUAUACAUGUACAGGAGAAGCAAUUGGCUUGGAAGUUCCGGUUCUCUCUGAUGUCCAAGAAGACAGCUCUUACGAAGUUCGUCAGCUCGGUGGACUAGAGUGAUAUCCAAGUAAAUUAAAGUAUCCUGUCUUCCCUAUAUAUCGGCGUCUCUUCUGUCUUGUACUGUCACAUUUCAUAUGCACAUCGGAGGAAAUGUGCGUUGGAGCAGACCGAGUUCCCAGACCUCAUUCAUAUUGCCAUAGGCAGUGAUCAAUAAGAGGGCACUGUAAUUUAUCUUCUAACGUCACUGUUGUUCUAGCUCUAACUUUAUUUUUGUUGCUUCUACUGUAUGGUUGCAAAGUUAGGCUUAAGACCGAAAAAUGUGCUAAUUUGUGAAUGUGUUAAUCCCGAAUAUUCAGCUAAUCCGUGUAUUAUUCUUUUGGGGGCUAUUUGGGCUAUUUUGGUCUCAGCAUGAGGACUGUGCUAAUCUGUGGAACAAAUAUGUUGUUGCGCUGCCUAAUUUGUUCUAAUUCUCAAAAUAUGCUCCUGUAAUCUCCAAUAAUAUUAUGUGCAAAAUCAAAAUGCCAGAGUUAUCAAUCCUGACAAGGGAAAA